CCUACGGGCGGCAGCAGUGAGGAAUAUUGGUCAAUGGCCGGAAGGCUGAACCAGCCAUGCCGCGUGAAGGUCAGUGCCCUAUGGGCGUUAAACUUCUUUUGUGCGGGAGCAAUAAUGGUCACGUGUGGCCAGACGAGAGUACCGUACGAAUAAGCAUCGGCUAACUCCGUGCCAGCAGCCGCGGUAAUACGGGGGAUGCAAGCGUUAUCCGGAUUUAUUGGGGUUAAAGGGUGCGUAGGCUGUGAGGGAAGUCAGCGGUGAAAUGCCCGCGCUCAACGGGGUGAAGUGCCAUUGAUACUGCCUUGCUGGAGUGCGGAUGCCGUGGGAGGAAUGUGUGGUGUAGCGGUGAAAUGCAUAGAUAUCACACAGAACACCGAUUGCGAAGGCAUCUCACGAAUCCGCGAUUGACGCUGAUGCACGAAAGCGUGGGUAUCAAACAGGAUUAGAUACCCCAGUAGUC
RNAcentral lists this ribosomal RNA (460 nucleotides) under uncultured bacterium. Its description in RNAcentral is "partial 16S ribosomal RNA". It matches the Rfam family "Bacterial small subunit ribosomal RNA", at positions 338 to 795 of the family's 1533-position model. The record is from RNAcentral.